Molecule: long non-coding RNA, 136 nt
Organism: Mycetomoellerius zeteki
Lineage: Eukaryota; Metazoa; Arthropoda; Insecta; Hymenoptera; Formicidae
Exons: 3
Source: RefSeq, a predicted model, not a curated record
UGCAUCAAUUCGUGGCAGCAGAAAAUGUGGGUACAAGUUCUCAUAAUGACGGUACAAACUGGCAAGCUCUUGGAUAUCAAGUAGAUCAGCAGAGAAUGAUGCAUCAGUCCGUAGCAGCAGAAAAUAUGGCUACAAG